This 341-nucleotide ribosomal RNA is filed under the name uncultured Pseudomonadota bacterium. RNAcentral describes it as "bacterial SSU rRNA". It matches the Rfam family "Bacterial small subunit ribosomal RNA", at positions 29 to 351 of the family's 1533-position model. Lineage: Bacteria; Pseudomonadati; Pseudomonadota. The record is from RNAcentral.
AACGAACGCUGGCGGCGUGCCUAACACAUGCAAGUCGAGCGGGAAAGUCUCCUUCGGGAGGCGAGUACAGCGGCGAACGGGUGAGUAACACGUAGGUAACCUACCCUGGGGACCGGGAUAACCUGUCGAAAGGCGGGCUAAUACCGGAUAAGACCACGAGAGCCUCGGCUCUUGCGGUAAAAGGUGGCCUCUGCUUGCAAGCUAUCACCCCGAGAUGGGCCUGCGUGCCAUUAGCUAGUUGGUGAGGUAACGGCUCACCAAGGCUGAGAUGGCUAGCUGGUCUGAGAGGAUGGCCAGCCACACUGGGACUGAGACACGGCCCAGACUCCUACGGGUGGCAG